Homo sapiens (human) is the source of this 2054-nucleotide long non-coding RNA. RefSeq annotates it as long independently transcribed non-coding RNA 1773. The transcript is spliced from 3 exons. The record is from RefSeq and is a predicted model, not a curated record. Lineage: Eukaryota; Metazoa; Chordata; Mammalia; Primates; Hominidae.
UUUUAUAGACCCCAAAUAUCUACUUUCUUCGAAUACUUACUCAAUGUUUGUCUCCUUCACUAGACUUAAAGUUCCUUGAGAGUAAGAGCCUCACCUGUCUUGUUCCCUUUUGUCUACAGCACCUAAUUCAUUGCUGUCACAUAUUAUACUCUCAAAAAAUUUGUGUGAAAUGAAUGAUGGGCUGUAACAUCUAUCAGCAGCAGCCAAAGGUGAGCAUCCCCAUGAACUGACAGCAAAGGCAGUCAGUACCUUAAGAAAUGACAGCACCUGCCUUGUUUCUUCAGGGCUUCACCAUCAAGAAUAUGACAGCAGCAGCAGCUUAAGCAGGAAAAUACACCCAAAUGUCUCACCUCUGUUUCCAUCAGAUAACUAGCUCACUGUCAUAAGCGUGGAAUAUCCUGAGAGGGACCCAGCUGAUGUGGCUCUGAUUGCAACGUCGAGGAUAGUCUUCUCCUUCAGAAGCAAUAUGGUGAAUCAACGCUUGCAGACACAGGGCAAACCCAGAAUGCUAUUUGUACAAACAAGUAUGGCUCCUCUCCUGCGGAAGUUUCCAGUGCAGAUGCCAAUGUCUUUGCCAUCCAUUUGCCCUUAAGGAAAAGGGCUUGCUGAACUCAGGCAAAGUAGGGAAUUGAGCCUGUUGACUGCCUUGGAUGCUUAGUGUCCCAUAUUCCCUGUGGCUAGCCUGGGCAGAGUCUGUGAGGGAUUAGAGCAUGAAGGCUAUAGUGCAUAAUGAGUUUAAGGAAAAAUUAGCCUGAAAAAAAUCACUUAGCUCCAAAUGUCUAGUGAUAUUUAUAGACGUUGUGGGUUAAAUUUCACUUCACUGACUUUGUCCUUUACAUUGACAAGCUAGAUAAGAUGAUAUCGUUUUAAAUAAUCAUUUGCGUUUAGGUAUUUCUCUGGCAGUUUUGUAUUACAGUUUAAAAAUAGACUAGCCUAUGUCUAUGGCUCAUGUUGGCUAUGGUAUUUUGAACUUGAUUUCUGAGGCUGCUGACAGCUUUUGAAAGAUUUAACAACUGGCAGCAAGAAAAACUUCCAUAGAAUCUCUUCUCUGAAAUUUUUUCUGCUGGAAAAAAGGGCAUCACUUAGCAGGCGUAAAUGUCUCAGUCACUGACUAUAAGUACAAAGGGCCCAGAAGCUGGAAUCUGAAGACAAACAUGGCUCCACUACAUUUUACUCUCAUUGCCUUGGGAAACAUUACUUAAACCAGAAGAAUCUAUUGCCCUCUUUACUUCACAGUGCUACAGAGAGGAUUACAUGAGCCAAUAUUUAUUCAAGAGAAAUGACAAAAAGACUGAGAAUCUCUGAGGUCCUUGGGUUUCCAGAGGUAUUCCUGCAAGGAACAGUCAAGCAGCAUCAAACCUUCAGACCUUCUGAAACAGCCUGGUUCCUCCCAGCACUGGGUCUGGUUCUGCCGCCCUCCUUUCCAACAUGUCACGUCAGUCAUCCUCCCAACAAAUUCAGUAGUUGGUUAAGCAAGCCAUAUACAGUGUUAGUUGACUGAAAUCAAAGCUCUAUAGCUAAUACCAGAGGAAAGCAAAGUUCUGAUUUUCAUAAGGUUUUGAAUGCUGUGCUAUGGAUUUUGGACUUUAUUUUGAAGGCAAUAAAGAUUGUAAUAAAGAUAGUAGCAUGAGUGAACUGGUUAAGAGAUUUGCCAAAAUGUCUAGCCAUUCAACUUCGUAAGUAUAUGAAAUUCUCCAUAGAAGUAUAAUGUUAAAUAAGUGGCCUUCAGUAAGGCAAAAACAAACAAACAAAAAAAUAGAUAGCUGCUCUUUCUAUUUCUGUUACUAUUAAAGAAAAUGUAGCUUUCCAAAUGACUUAAUUUUACUCAUGAAUGAAUGAAUAUUGAGUUAAUAACACUCUCCAUACUUUCCCUUUUUUAUAUAUAUAUAACUUGAGAUAAUAAUUGCUACUUAAAGUAGGAUGUUUAUAAAUACAUGGCAGUACUGUGUAUGCUUUCUUCUUUGUGGUUUUUAUAUGCUUUUAUACGUUCUGUGUAUGAAUGUUGAGGAGAACUUCUUUUAGAAUUAGUUAGAAUAAACUUGUUCAUUCUGAAA